This 21-nucleotide non-coding RNA is filed under the name Caenorhabditis elegans. The record is from RNAcentral. Lineage: Eukaryota; Metazoa; Nematoda; Chromadorea; Rhabditida; Rhabditidae.
UAGCAUAUAUCUAGUAUAUCA